RNAcentral lists this long non-coding RNA (251 nucleotides) under Nicotiana benthamiana. Its description in RNAcentral is "long non-coding RNA (NBEN_LNC040483)". Lineage: Eukaryota; Viridiplantae; Streptophyta; Magnoliopsida; Solanales; Solanaceae. The record is from RNAcentral.
GGGAGUCUGUCACCUCUCCUGGUAUAAAAAAAUACAAAGAAAUAAUGGAAAACAAUCACUUGUAGUAGUAGUAUUUACUUUCCUACUUUAUUUCUGUUCCCAUCUUUUUAGUAACUAGGGUUUCGGAGUGGUGAGGUGGUACCAUACGUUAGCCUUGUAGGGGUUAGUCCAAAUAAGGGUGGGUCCAUUUUCGGUAUUGUCCAAAAGUUUAUUUUAGUGGGACCCUUUGUUGGUCUCCAAACGACCUUAAU